AGUGGCGGACGGGUGAGUAACGCGUGAGGAACCUGCCUUUCAGAGGGGGACAACAGUUGGAAACGACUGCUAAUACCGCAUGACACAUCGAAGCGGCAUCGCUUUGAUGUCAAAGAUUUAUCGCUGAAAGAUGGCCUCGCGUCUGAUUAGAUAGUUGGCGGGGUAACGGCCCACCAAGUCGACGAUCAGUAGCCGGACUGAGAGGUUGAACGGCCACAUUGGGACUGAGACACGGCCCAGACUCCUACGGGAGGCAGCAGUGGGGAAUAUUGCACAAUGGGGGAAACCCUGAUGCAGCAACGCCGCGUGAGGGAAGAAGGUUUUCGGAUUGUAAACCUCUGUCCCUGGUGACGAAGACAGUGACGGUAACCAGGGAGGAAGCCACGGCUAACUACGUGCCAGCAGCCGCGGUAAUACGUAGGUGACAAGCGUUGUCCGGAUUUACUGGGUGUAAAGGGCGCGUAGGCGGACUGUCAAGUCAGUCGUGAAAUACCGGGGCUCAACCCCGGGGCUGCGAUUGAAACUGACAGCCUUGAGUAUCGGAGAGGAAAGCGGAAUUCCUAGUGUAGCGGUGAAAUGCGUAGAUAUUAGGAGGAACACCAGUGGCGAAGGCGGCUUUCUGGACGACAACUGACGCUGAGGCGCGAAAGUGUGGGGAGCAAACAGGAUUAGAUACCCUGGUAGUCCACACCGUAAACGAUGGAUACUAGGUGUAGGAGGUAUCGACCCCUUCUGUGCCGCAGUUAACACAAUAAGUAUCCCACCUGGGGAGUACGACCGCAAGGUUGAAACUCAAAGGAAUUGACGGGGGCCCGCACAAGCAGUGGAGUAUGUGGUUUAAUUCGAAGCAACGCGAAGAACCUUACUAGGUUUUGACAUCGAUCUAAAAGGGAUGGAGACAUCCUCAUAGCUAUAGAGAAGACAGGUGGUGCAUGGUUGUCGUCAGCUCGUGUCGUGAGAUGUUGGGUUAAGUCCCGCAACGAGCGCAACCCCUGUCGCCAGUUACCAUCAUUAAGUUGGGGACUCUGGCGAGACUGCCUCUGCAAGGAGGAGGAAGGCGGGGAUGACGUCAAAUCAUCAUGCCCCUUAUGACCUGGGCCACACACGUGCUACAAUGGACGGGACAGAGGGAAGCGAAGGCGCGAGCCGGAGCGGACCCCAGAAACCCGUUCCCAGUUCGGACUGCAGUCUGCAACUCGACUGCACGAAGCCGGAAUCGCUAGUAAUCGCGGAUCAGAAUGCCGCGGUGAAUACGUUCUCGGGCCUUGCACUCACCGCCCGUCA
This 1284-nucleotide ribosomal RNA is filed under the name uncultured bacterium. RNAcentral describes it as "partial 16S ribosomal RNA". It matches the Rfam family "Bacterial small subunit ribosomal RNA", at positions 94 to 1399 of the family's 1533-position model. The record is from RNAcentral.